GGACCAUUAACUCAAUUGGUUAGAGUGGACGGCUCAUAACCGUUAUGUUCCGGGUUCAAGUCCUGGAUGGUCCACCA
This 77-nucleotide transfer RNA is filed under the name Erysipelotrichaceae bacterium. RNAcentral describes it as "tRNA-Ile". It matches the Rfam family "tRNA". Rfam says of the family: Transfer RNA (tRNA) molecules are approximately 80 nucleotides in length. Their secondary structure includes four short double-helical elements and three loops (D, anti-codon, and T loops). Lineage: Bacteria; Bacillati; Bacillota; Erysipelotrichia; Erysipelotrichales; Erysipelotrichaceae. The record is from RNAcentral.